Molecule: ribosomal RNA, 404 nt
Filed under: uncultured bacterium
Lineage: Bacteria
Description: partial 16S ribosomal RNA
Rfam family: Bacterial small subunit ribosomal RNA
Source: RNAcentral
GACGAACGCUGGCGGCGUGCUUAACACAUGCAAGUCGAGCGGAGCGGCGAACGGGUGAGUAACGCGUGAGUAACUGCCCCCCUCUCUGGGAUAACAGUUGGAAACGGCCGCUAAUACCGGAUAGUGGGGGAUGACUCGCGUCCUAUCAGAUUGUGUGGGGGGUAGUGGCUUACCACGCCGACGACGGGUAGCCGGCCUGAGAGGGCGACCGGCCCGAUUGGGCUGGGAGACGGCCCGAACUCGUACUGGAGGCAGCAGUGGGGAAUAUUGCACAAUGGGGGAAACCCUGAUGCAGCAACGCGCGUGCGGGAUGACGGCCUUCGGGUUGUAAACCGCUUUCAGCCAUGACGCGGUAGUGGCAGAAGAAGCACCGGCUAACUACGUGCCAGCAGCCGCGGUAAUUC